ACACCCUGAGGUUCUGGAUGGAUAUGAAUUCUGGGGAGACACUAUUCAACCCAGUAUACUUUUUGCCUUUCUUCCUUAGAGCUCCAGCUAAUCCAGAUGCAACAUUGACGAAUUAGUGCCGGAAUGAGUAUCAGCACUUGACCUGCAAAUCCAAGAGACACAUCUUUGGAAGAUAAGAGAGCUUCUUCAAGACCAAAAAAGGAGACGGCAUGAUACCCAUGUAGGGAAUUCCCCAAAGCAGGGCUUGCCAUACCUGGACCCCGAGGAGCCUGCUUGCUGGAAAGGCUUUCCUGUCUGAUGUGCAAGAGGCAGAAUGCCAAACUGACUCUUCAAGGGGCAACUGCAGGGGCUCGAGACCAGCCAGCAGUAUCUCAUCCUUCGAUACAGGGCAUAUACUGUACAGUCCUUUUUCUAGAAGUGAGACGUACAAGAUUACUCUACAAGAGGAAGAUUCCAGGGGCUCAAAAACGCAAAGGUUUG
RNAcentral lists this small RNA (480 nucleotides) under Pan troglodytes (chimpanzee). RNAcentral describes it as "processed transcript". The record is from RNAcentral. Lineage: Eukaryota; Metazoa; Chordata; Mammalia; Primates; Hominidae.